Molecule: ribosomal RNA, 468 nt
Filed under: uncultured bacterium
Lineage: Bacteria
Description: partial 16S ribosomal RNA
Rfam family: Bacterial small subunit ribosomal RNA
Source: RNAcentral
GAUGAACGCUGGCGGCGUGCUUAACACAUGCAAGUAGAACGGUAAAGCCCUGCUUUUCUCUUGUGCUCGAGUGGCGAACGGGUGAGUAACACGUGAGUAACCUGCCCUUUACUUUGGGAUAACUUUAGGAAACUAUGGCUAAUACCGCAUGAGAGCUGCUGCUGCAUGGUGGGGGUUGGAAAGUUUCAGCGGUUGGGGUUGGACUCGCGGCUUAUCAGCUUGUUGGUGAGGUAGUGGAGUCGCAAGGCGUGGACGGGUAGCCGGCCUGGGAGGGUGACCGGCCACAUAGGGACUGAGAUGGGGCCCAGACUCAUACGGGAGGCAGCAGUGGAAAAUAGUGCACAAUGGGCGGAAGCCUGAUACAGCAACGCCGCGUGCGGGAGGACGGUCGUCGGGUUGGAAACCGCGUUCGCCUGGGACGAAGCGUGAGUGACGGUAACGGAUAAAGAAGCACCGGCUAACUACGUG